RNAcentral lists this ribosomal RNA (252 nucleotides) under uncultured bacterium. Its description in RNAcentral is "partial 16S ribosomal RNA". It matches the Rfam family "Bacterial small subunit ribosomal RNA", at positions 524 to 776 of the family's 1533-position model. The record is from RNAcentral.
GACGUAGGGCGCGAGCGUUGUCCGGAUUUAUUGGGCGUAAAGCGCGCGCAGGCGGCUAUUUAAGUCUGGUGUUUAAACCUUGGGCUCAACCUGAGGUCGCACUGGAAACUGGGUGGCUUGAGUACAGAAGAGGAAAGUGGAAUUCCACGUGUAGCGGUGAAAUGCGUAGAUAUGUGGAGGAACACCAGUGGCGAAGGCGACUUUCUGGGCUGUAACUGACGCUGAGGCGCGAAAGCGUGGGGAGCAAACAGG